UAUGGUGGUUAUACCAAGGGUGUUCACCUCUUCCCAUCCCGAACAGAGAAGUUAAGCCCCUUAUGGCCGAUGGUACUGCACAACAAUGCGGGAGAGUAGGUAGCUGCCAUAU
This 112-nucleotide ribosomal RNA is filed under the name Pseudobacter ginsenosidimutans. Lineage: Bacteria; Pseudomonadati; Bacteroidota; Chitinophagia; Chitinophagales; Chitinophagaceae. The record is from RNAcentral.